GGUUAAGCGACUAAGCGUACACGGUGGAUGCCCUGGCAGUCAGAGGCGAUGAAGGGCGUGCUAAUCUGCGAUAAGCGCCGGUAAGGUGAUAUGAACCGUUAUAACCGGCGAUACCCGAAUGGGGAAACCCAGUGUGACUCGUCACACUAUCAUUAACUGAAUCCAUAGGUUAAUGAGGCGAACCGGGGGAACUGAAACAUCUAAGUACCCCGAGGAAAAGAAAUCAACCGAGAUUCCCCCAGUAGCGGCGAGCGAACGGGGAGGAGCCCAGAGCCUGAAUCAGCAUGUGUGUUAGUGGAAGCGUCUGGAAAGGCGCGCGAUACAGGGUGACAGCCCCGUACACAAAAGCGCAUGUGCUGUGAGCUCGAUGAGUAGGGCGGGACACGUGGUAUCCUGUCUGAAUAUGGGGGGACCAUCCUCCAAGGCUAAAUACUCCUGACUGACCGAUAGUGAACCAGUACCGUGAGGGAAAGGCGAAAAGAACCCCGGCGAGGGGAGUGAAAAAGAACCUGAAACCGUGUACGUACAAGCAGUGGGAGCACAGGUUUACCUGUGUGACUGCGUACCUUUUGUAUAAUGGG
RNAcentral lists this ribosomal RNA (581 nucleotides) under Salmonella enterica. RNAcentral's name for it is "partial 23S ribosomal RNA". It matches the Rfam family "Bacterial large subunit ribosomal RNA", at positions 1 to 619 of the family's 2925-position model. The record is from RNAcentral. Lineage: Bacteria; Pseudomonadati; Pseudomonadota; Gammaproteobacteria; Enterobacterales; Enterobacteriaceae. RNAcentral also lists the same sequence under 1 other name.